CCCAGUGUUCAGACUACCUGUUCAGGAGGCUGGGACAUGUACAGUAGUCUGCACAUUGGUUA
Molecule: microRNA precursor, 62 nt
Filed under: Mus musculus (house mouse)
Lineage: Eukaryota; Metazoa; Chordata; Mammalia; Rodentia; Muridae
Description: Mmu-Mir-199-P3-v2_pre stem-loop
Rfam family: mir-199 microRNA precursor family
About the family: This family consists of the microRNA (miRNA) precursor mir-199 which appears to be specific to humans.
Source: RNAcentral